GCGAGUGAAGAGGGAUCAGCCCAAAUUUGUAAUCAGGCUCUUUCAGUGUCUGAGUUGUAAUUUUAAGAACUGUUUUCUGCUCUGGACCAUGUACAAGUCUGUUGAAAUGCAGCAUCAUAGAGGGUGAGAAUCCUGUUCAUGAUAUGGACUACCAGAGCUUUAUGAUACAGUCUCUAAGAGUCGAGUUGUUUGGGAAUGCAGCUCAAAGUGGGUGGUAAAUUCCAUCUAAGGCUAAAUAUUGGUGAGAGACCGAUAGCAAACAAGUACCGUGAGGGAAAGAUGAAAAGAACUUUGGAAAGAGAGUUAACAGUACGUGAAAUUGUUAAAAGGGAAACAGUUGAAGUUAGACUUGUUGUYRUUGGYUCAGCYCUUUANNAGGGUGUWUKCYRWUAAUUAACAAACCAAUGUCAAUUUUUGGGUGUUGGAUAAGGGUCAUUGNAAAUGUAGCAGUUUUGGCUGUGUUAUAGUCUUUGACUUGGNAUACAAUGCUUGGGAUUGAGGAUUGCAGUAAGCCAUUUUUUUGGUGGGACAAUUUAUUGUUCUUCUUACUGAGGAUAUUGGUGAAAUAGCUUUAAUUGACCCGUCUUGAAAC
Molecule: ribosomal RNA, 592 nt
Filed under: Gymnosporangium nidus-avis
Lineage: Eukaryota; Fungi; Basidiomycota; Pucciniomycetes; Pucciniales; Gymnosporangiaceae
Description: partial large subunit ribosomal RNA
Rfam family: Eukaryotic large subunit ribosomal RNA
Source: RNAcentral